Clostridium collagenovorans DSM 3089 is the source of this 128-nucleotide regulatory RNA element. It matches the Rfam family "Ribosomal protein L10 leader". From Rfam's summary of the family: This family is a putative r-protein leader autoregulatory structure found in B. subtilis and other low-GC Gram-positive bacteria. It is located in the 5' untranslated regions of mRNAs encoding ribosomal proteins L10 and L12 (rplJ-rplL). The record is from Rfam. NCBI's taxonomy places the organism in Bacteria, Bacillati, Bacillota, Clostridia, Eubacteriales, Clostridiaceae.
AUAAAUAUUUAAAGUAUUCCGUAGACAGUAGGUGCGAAAGCGUAAGAUGAUUCGCCUACCGAGGUUUCCAUACUUGUUGAUAGUAAUGGUCUCUUCGUAUGUCUGCGGAGAGGCUUUGAUUUUUAUAU